CCAGCUCCAAGAGUGUAUAUUAAAGUUGUUGCAGUUGAAAGGCUCGUAGUCGGAAGGCGGGGCGGUGGAUGCAGAGCAGGGAGACCUGGAUCUGGAUCUGGCGCCCUUCGGGGGGGACAUGACAGUCCCCCCCCGUUACUGUGAGGAAAUUAGAGUGUUCAAGGCAGGCGUGUGCUUGGAUAGGUUAGCAUGGAAUAACGGGAUGGUCCGUUGGUUGGAGCGUAGGUUGAUAGGGACAGUUGGGGGCAUUGGUAUUUGGCAUUCAGAGGUGAAAUUCUAGGAUUUGCUGAACACGGACGGGGGCGAAAGCAUUUGCCAAGGAUGUUUUCAUUGAUCAGGAACGAAAGUUGGGGGAUCGAAAACGAUUAAAUACCGUCGUAUUCUCUACAGUAAACCAUGCCGGCGGGGCGUGGGGGGGCCGAAGGCGGAUCUUCCGCGCCCUGGAGAAAUCAGAGCGUGUGGGUUCUGGGGGGAGUAUGGUCGCAAGGCAGAAACUUGAAGGAAUUGACGGAAGGGCACCACCAGGAGUGGAGCCUGCGGCUUAAUUCGACUCAAC
Molecule: ribosomal RNA, 556 nt
Filed under: uncultured eukaryote
Lineage: Eukaryota
Description: partial 18S ribosomal RNA
Rfam family: Eukaryotic small subunit ribosomal RNA
Source: RNAcentral